This 102-nucleotide ribosomal RNA is filed under the name Acanthosepion pharaonis. Lineage: Eukaryota; Metazoa; Mollusca; Cephalopoda; Sepiida; Sepiidae. The record is from RNAcentral.
CACGCUGAAACACCGGUUUCCGUACGAUCAACGAAGUUAAGCAACGUCGAGCUUGGUCAGUACCUAGAUGGGUGACCGCUUGGGAAUCCCAGGUGCUGUAAG